AAAUUAAUCAAUGAAUAGUAAAAAAGAAAAAAAGAAAACUCCCAUUGGCCUCUCUCCUUCCAGGUUUCACUCUGCCCACCCCACUUCCUCCCACUGGAGUUUCCUAGGAUCUCUUCCCCAAAUAAACCACCCUCAGGAAAAGCUCUGCAUUGAGGAACCCGGCCAGGAGAGCUGUCCUGCUAGUCUCUUGUGAGGCUUGUGAAGGAACUCAAGGACCAUGACAACAGAGCUUGAGGACAGAGUUGGGGGUCCCACGGGAGCUCAUGGUGUGUUCAGGCAUUACAUGUGGCCCCUUUCUUUUGCUCUCUUUUUUCAAAAAGCAACUUUAUUGACAUAUAACACAUGCCAUGCAAUUCGAUUUUAAGUGUGCAAUUCAAAGCUGUGUGGUAUAUUCAUGGAGUUGGGCAACCAUCAUCUCAAUUAAUUUUAGAGCAUUUUCAUCACCCCAAAAAGAAACCUCGUGUCCUCCAGUUAUUAUUCCCCCAGCCCCACUGGCUCAUUUCUGUUGCUAUGGAUUUGCCUAGUCUAGACUCUUCAUGUAAGUGGAAUUUGUACAGUAAGAGGCGGUUUGUGCCUGGCGUUGUCUUCUUAACAUACUAUCUUCAAGGCAUGUCUGUGUUACAGCAGGUAUCACCACCUCAUUCCUAUUUACAGCCGAAUAAUCAUCCAUUGUUUAGAUACACCACAUUUUAUUCAUCCAUCAGUUAAUUAAUGGACAUUCCCAGUUGUCUCCAUCUUUGGAUUAUAAUGAAUAACACUGCUAUAAAUAUCUGUGUACAAGUUUUUGUGCAGAUGUAUGUUUUUAGUUCUCUUUGUUAUACACCCAGGAGUGAAAUUUUUGGGUUGCAGCUCUCCUCUUUUAAUAUUUAAUUUUAUUGUUAGAUGACAUAAGACAUUCCCCUUGCUGUGUCACAAUUUAUUUUUUGUUUUAUUUGAUUUUUAAUUGACACAUAACAAUUGUACAAUGUGGUGCUACUUAUGAACAUUAUGUAAUCAUCAACUCAGGGUAAUUAGCAUAUUCAUCACCUUGAACAUUUAUCAUUUCUUUGUGAUGAGACAGUCAAAAUCCUCUCUUCUAGCUAUUCUAAAAUAUGCAAUGCAUUAUUGUUGACUAUAGUCACCUCCUGUGCAAUAAAUACCAGUACUGAGUCUUCCUAACUGGAACUUAAUACCAAUUGACCAACCCCUUCCCAUCUUCCCUGCCCUAUUUCACAAUUUAAAAGACACAAAAAGAAAAUUCUUAUGCUCUCUUCAGUGACAAACAAUUUCCCACUUUAAAUGUAUUUUUGGAGACGUUUCUAGAAUAUAUAAGCAGUUAAGAAUGUGCUCCUUUUUUUUUUUUACACAAAUGGUGAUAUACUAUAUACACUGCUCAGUACCUUAAUUUUUUUCAUGUAAUGUGAAAUGUUAGAGAUUGCACCAUGUCAUUUCAAAAAGAACUCUUCAU
Molecule: long non-coding RNA, 1447 nt
Filed under: Marmota monax (woodchuck)
Lineage: Eukaryota; Metazoa; Chordata; Mammalia; Rodentia; Sciuridae
Source: RNAcentral